GUAUGUUGUGCAAGUGUGUGUAGGUGCAUGUGAGUGCAUGUGUGCAUAUGUGUGUACAUUCAUAUGUGUGAGUGUAUGUGUGUGUGUAGGUGUGCAUGUGAGAAUAUGUGUGUGUGCAUAUGAGUGCACUGUGCGCAUGUAUGCGGGCACAUGUAUGUGUAGGUGUGUGUAAGAGUGCAUGUGUGUGUAAGUGCAUGUAUACGAGUGCAUGUGUAUGUGUAAGUGCAUUGUGUGCAUACGUGUGUGUGAGUGCCCACCUUCAGCUGCACUAGGGAGGAAGCCUGCAGCAGUCUCGGUGGCCCCUCAGUGCAGCUGAGCCACUCCAUCAGGUCCCCAGCUACCUACCUGGUGGUUUACCUGCCACAUUCGCCUAAAUGAAAUAGAAAUACCCUCACAAGGAUGCUUAGACUUGUCUCACAAGAAAUGCCAAGGUUUGGGUUUAUUUGCAUAUUUAUAAUAAAACUUGCAGUUUUCAAAAGCACCUACUGGUGGCUCCACUCCUGGAGGUGCAAACCCCCCAUCUCACCCGUGAGACCAAGGAGUCGCUAUCUGAACACUCAGAAAGGAGAGCAGCAGGUGGAUGGGGGCAGCAGAGGAACAGCAUUCAAAGUCCCAGCACCCUUCAUCCCAUGACCUGUGCACCCAAAACCCAGAGGCGGGCAUUUGUGCAGACAGAGCAGGCUCCCAAUGAAUCCUGCAGCCUCCCUCAAGGUAUAGAAAAGGGAAGCACAAGUGCUCAGAGAGGACAGAAGACACCCCUGUUUCUUCUCCUUUCUCUCACACCCCAGACCAUGCAGGUGUGAACAACUAAACUGAUAAAGGAAACACUCUGUCUAGUCACAGUGGCUUACUCCUGUAAUUCCAGCACUUUGGGAGGCCAAGGUGGGUGGAUCAUUUGAGGUCAGGAGUUCAAGACCAGCCUGGCCACAUGGUGAAACCCUACCUCUACUAAAAAUACAAAAAUUAGCCAGAUGUGGCCAGGCACAGUGGCUCACGCCUGUAAUACUAGCACUUUAGGAGGCUGAGGCGGAUGGAUCACCUGAGGUGAGGGGUUCAAGAUCAGCCUGGCUAACAUGGCAAAACCCGGCCUCUACUAAAAACACAAAAAUUAGCCAGGCGUGGUGGUGCAUGCCUGUAAUCCCAGCUACUUGGGACGCUGAGACAGGAGAAUCACUUGAAUCUGGGAGGCGGAGGUUGCAGGGAGCCAAGAUCGCGCCACUGCACUCCAGGCUGGGCAACAGAGUAAGACCCUGUCUCAAAAAAAAAAAAAAAAUCCAGGUGUGGUGGCAGGUGCCUGUAGUCCCAGCUACUUGGGAGGCUGAGGCAGGAGAAUCACUUGAACCUGGGAGGUGGAGGUUGCAGUGAGCCAAGAUGGUGCCACUGAGUGACAGAGUGAGAUUCCAUCUCAAAAAAAAAAAAAAGAAAACACUCCUCUUCAAUGGAAGGGGUUCUGAUCUCAAGAAAGCAGGGUAAGCACUGCUGAUUUUUUUUUUUCUCUGUCCUCCUGGCGCUCAGCUCUGGCACAUACAGUUGCAACCAUAAGAACAGUAUCAGGGCAGCAAACACAAAGCUCCAGUUUUUUGCCUGUAAAACUGAAAAUGAAGCCCCAAGAAAGCAGAAAGUCCUGGAGAGGGUCCUGGAAAGGGAGACUCUCGAGAAACAUAACAUAAAGUUGUUCAGGAACUCCAGGGCUCCCCCUAGAGGCACACGUCACUGAACUCGGGACAAACCAUUGCCCACACAUGACCACAGAAGGUGCACAGACAGGACAGAGCAAACCGCUCAGGCUUUGAAGACAUCAACCCACAGAAGUCAACCAGGCUGAUUUCCAGCUUAAAAAAAAAUCAACAUUACCCUAUGAUGUAAAGAAGACCUGAAGUCAAGUAACAUAGUCUUCAAAAUACUCAGCACACCAUCUGAAAUUACUGGGCAUAGGAAGAAUCAAGUAGCAUGCACAUGAAAAGAUUACUAACAGAUACCACUGUCAAGAUGACACCAAUACUGGAAUUAUCUGACAAUUUUCAAGCAGCUAAUACAAAAAUGCUUCAACAAGUAAAAGCAAAUACCCUUGAAAGGAAUGGGAACAUUAAAAAGUCUCAGCAAAGAAACAGAAGAUAGAAAGAAGAACUGAGUGGAAAGUUUAUAAGAAGAAAAGACAGUAACUGAAAUAAUUCAAUGUAUAGGCUCAAUAAUUGAAUAUGAAUAACAGAAGUAAGUUAGUGAAAUUGAAGACAGGUCAACAGAAAUUAUCCAAUACAAACAACAGAGAGAAAGGGAUUUAAAACAAA
This 2288-nucleotide long non-coding RNA is filed under the name Macaca fascicularis (crab-eating macaque). Its description in RNAcentral is "lncRNA (ENSMFAG00000065295.1)". Lineage: Eukaryota; Metazoa; Chordata; Mammalia; Primates; Cercopithecidae. The record is from RNAcentral.